Molecule: long non-coding RNA, 433 nt
Organism: Rhineura floridana
Lineage: Eukaryota; Metazoa; Chordata; Lepidosauria; Squamata; Rhineuridae
Exons: 3
Source: RefSeq, a predicted model, not a curated record
ACACGUCCAUUGAAACUGAUAAAACGUCUUUUCAUUGGCUUUCAUGGUUUUAAAAAUAGCUGCAUCUGAAGGACAAUUCUGGAUGAGAAAAUAGCCUAUUCAGCCCAUCUGAUACAGACAUCCAGAUGCGUCAGUAAUCUCCUCAAGCCUAUGGGGGUGAGAGAUAAAAGUAUCAUGUCAUCCGCAUAUAAUAACAUUGCAACCUUCCUACUUCUCAUAGAGGGAGGGAAAUAUGAUGGACCCGCCAGUUCAGCAACGAUGUCAUUCAGGAAGUAAAAGAUUGUCCUUCCAUACAAAUGGCUUCUAACUGCUAACAAGAUGAAACAGCAGUAAGGACAAAAUGGACUGAAGGAAAGAAAAGAAAAGAAAAUGGAAACAGCUCCUAGUUGGAAAUUGUUGUUUUGGUUGCUGUUUCUGUUUGGAAAGGUACUUU